RNAcentral lists this long non-coding RNA (224 nucleotides) under Olea europaea (common olive). Its description in RNAcentral is "long non-coding RNA (OEUR_LNC015306)". Lineage: Eukaryota; Viridiplantae; Streptophyta; Magnoliopsida; Lamiales; Oleaceae. The record is from RNAcentral.
AAUUCAAUUUUUACGUUAUUAGGCGAAAUCUCAUUUUCAAAGUCACUUUCUUUUACUAAAUGAAGCAAUAUACCGAUUUUGAAGCCAACCGGGACACUACCUUGAAGAAAGGUAAACCAGGUCAGGGAAUAUAUGAUACAAUGAUAAGGAGACUCAUUUUGGUGGCAUUUGUCGAGGAUUAGUUGGGCUGAAACUGAGUUAUCUGUAUUGCAUUAUAGUUAGAU